Molecule: ribosomal RNA, 2889 nt
Filed under: Caloramator sp. mosi_1
Lineage: Bacteria; Bacillati; Bacillota; Clostridia; Eubacteriales; Clostridiaceae
Description: 23S ribosomal RNA
Rfam family: Bacterial large subunit ribosomal RNA
Source: RNAcentral
GAUCAAGCUACAAAGGGCGCAUGGUGGAUGCCUUGGCACCAGGAGCCGAAGAAGGACGUGGUAAGCUGCGAAAAGCUGCGGGUAGCCGCAAACAGGCUGUGAUCCGCAGAUGUCCGAAUGGGGGAACCCACCUAGUAAACACUAGGUAUCCUUAACUGAAUCCAUAGGUUAAGGAGGGCACACCCGGGGAACUGAAACAUCUAAGUACCCGGAGGAAGAGAAAGAAUAAUCGAUUCCCUAAGUAGCGGCGAGCGAAAGGGGAAGAGCCCAAACCAGAGGAAACUCUGGGGUUGCGGACAGGUCAUAACGGUUUAAAAUCUCUAGUCGAAGAGGCCUGGAAAGGCCGGCCACAGAAGGUAAUAGCCCUGUAGGCGAAAGAGAAUUUAAGCUAGACCUGAUCCAGAGUACCACGGGACACGUGAAACCCUGUGGGAAGCAGGGAGGACCACCUCCCAAGGCUAAAUACUACCUGGUGACCGAUAGCGUAUAGUACCGUGAGGGAAAGGUGAAAAGAACCCCGGGAGGGGAGUGAAAUAGAACCUGAAACCGUGUGCCUACAAGCAGUCGGAGGGCGUUAAGGCCUGACGGCGUGCUUUUGUAGAACGAGCCAGCGAGUUACGGUAUGUAGCGAGGUUAAGCACUUAAGGUGUGAAGCCGUAGGGAAACCGAGUCUGAAAAGGGCGAAAAGUUGCAUGCCGUAGACCCGAAACCGGGUGACCUAUCCAUGGACAGGGUGAAGGUGAGGUAAAACUCACUGGAGGCCCGAACCACGUUGGUGUUGAAAAACCAUGGGAUGAGCUGUGGAUAGCGGAGAAAUUCCAAUCGAACUCGGAGAUAGCUGGUUCUCCCCGAAAUAGCUUUAGGGCUAGCCUCGGGUUAGAGACGUGGAGGUAGAGCACUGAAUGGGCUAGGGGCCGUCUAGGUUACCGAACCUUAUCAAACUCCGAAUGCCAUGAUCUUGAUGCCCGGGAGUCAGACUACGAGUGAUAAGAUCCGUGGUCAAAAGGAAACAGCCCAGACCAUCAGCUAAGGUCCCAAAGUGUAUGUUAAGUGGAAAAGGAUGUGGGAUUUCCAAGACAACCAGGAUGUUGGCUUAGAAGCAGCCAUUCAUUUAAAGAGUGCGUAAUAGCUCACUGGUCGAGAGGUCCUGCGCCGAAGAUGUCCGGGGCUCAAACAUACCACCGAAGCUAUGGACCCUAACGGGUGGUAGGGAGCUUUCUUAGCGGGUAGAAGUCAGACCGGAAGGACUGGUGGACUGCUAAGAAGUGAGAAUGCUGGCAUAAGUAGCGAGAAAUAGGUGAGAAUCCUAUUCGCCGAAAACCUAAGGUUUCCUCAGGAAGGCUCGUCCGCUGAGGGUUAGUCGGGACCUAAGCCGAGGCCGAAAGGCGUAGGUGAUGGACAAUCGGUUGAUAUUCCGAUACCACCAGUAGCCGUUUGAGAGAUGGGGUGACGCAGGAGGAUAGGCUGAGCACACUGAUGGAUAUGUGUGUCUAAGGCACAAGGCGUGCCUCCCAGGCAAAUCCGGGAGGAUAAGCUGAGUGUUGAUGGGGAGUCGUAAGACGAAGCAGCUGAUUUCACACUGCCGAGAAAAGCCUCUAUCGAGGAUGCUGGUGCCCGUACCGCAAACCGACACAGGUAGGUGAGGAGAGAAUCCUAAGGCGAGCGGGAGAACCCUUGUUAAGGAACUCGGCAAAUUGACCCCGUAACUUCGGGAGAAGGGGUGCCUACCGCAAGGUAGGCCGCAGAGAAUAGGCCCAGGCGACUGUUUAGCAAAAACACAGGUCUCUGCUAAGUCGAAAGACGAUGUAUAGGGGCUGACGCCUGCCCGGUGCUGGAAGGUUAAGGGGAAAGGUUAGCGCAAGCGAAGCUUUGAACCGAAGCCCCAGUAAACGGCGGCCGUAACUAUAACGGUCCUAAGGUAGCGAAAUUCCUUGUCGGGUAAGUUCCGACCCGCACGAAUGGCGUAACGACCUGGGCGCUGUCUCAACAAGGGACCCGGCGAAAUUGUAGUACAAGUGAAGAUGCUUGUUACCCGCGAUUGGACGGAAAGACCCCGUAGAGCUUUACUGCAGCUUAGCAUUGAGUUUCGGUAUUGUCUGUACAGGAUAGGUGGGAGGCAGAGAAGUAGCGUCGCUAGGCGCUAUGGAGCCGACGUUGGGAUACCACCCUGAUGAUACUGAAGCUCUAACCGGAGGCCAUGAAUCUGGUCACGGGACAUUGUUAGGCGGGCAGUUUGACUGGGGCGGUCGCCUCCUAAAGAGUAACGGAGGCGCCCAAAGGUUCCCUCAGUGCGGUUGGAAAUCGCGCGUAGAGUGCAAAGGCAGAAGGGAGCCUAACUGUGAGACUGACAAGUCGAGCAGUGACGAAAGUCGGGCUUAGUGAUCCGGUGGUACCGAGUGGAAGGGCCAUCGCUCAACGGAUAAAAGCUACCUCGGGGAUAACAGGCUGAUCUCCCCAAGAGUCCACAUCGACGGGGAGGUUUGGCACCUCGAUGUCGGCUCGUCGCAUCCUGGGGCUGAAGUAGGUCCCAAGGGUUGGGCUGUUCGCCCAUUAAAGCGGCACGCGAGCUGGGUUCAGAACGUCGUGAGACAGUUCGGUCCCUAUCCGUCGCGGGCGUAGGAAAUUUGAGAGGAGCUGUCCUUAGUACGAGAGGACCGGGAUGGACGAACCUCUGGUGCACCAGUUGUCACGCCAGUGGCACAGCUGGGUAGCCAAGUUCGGAAGGGAUAAGCGCUGAAGGCAUCUAAGCGCGAAGCCCACCUCAAGAUGAGAUUUCCCAUAGCGUUAAGCUAGUAAGACCCCUGAAAGAACAUCAGGUUGAUAGGCCAGAGGUGUAAGCGUCGUGAGGCGUUUAGCUGACUGGUACUAAUAGGUCGAGGGCUUGAUCAU